CCUACGGGUGGCUGCAGUGGGGAAUCUUGCGCAAUGGGCGAAAGCCUGACGCAGCAACGCCGCGUGGGGGAUGAAGGCUCUCGGGUUGUAAACCCCUUUCAGCAGGGACGAAUCAAGACGGUACCUGCAGAAGAAGCCCCGGCUAACUACGUGUCAGCAGCCGCGGUAACACGUAGGGGGCAAGCGUUGUCCGGAUUUAUUGGGCGUAAAGAGCUCGUAGGCGGCUGAGUAAGUCGGGUGUCAAAUCCCCAGGCUCAACCUGGGACCCCACCCGAUACUGCUCUGGCUAGAGUCCGGUAGGGGAGCGUGGAAUUCCUGGUGUAGCGGUGAAAUGCGCAGAUAUCAGGAGGAACACCAGCGGCGAAGGCGGCGCUCUGGGCCGGAACUGACGCUGAGGAGCGAAAGCGUGGGUAGCAAACAGGAUUAGAUACCCUAGUAGUC
RNAcentral lists this ribosomal RNA (441 nucleotides) under uncultured bacterium. RNAcentral describes it as "partial 16S ribosomal RNA". It matches the Rfam family "Bacterial small subunit ribosomal RNA", at positions 338 to 795 of the family's 1533-position model. The record is from RNAcentral.